UAUCGUCAGCUACGAAGAUGGGCUCGAUCCGGUCGUAGAGAUCGAUCUCGUGUUCUUGGACUCUCGGAUCUCUUCCGCUCCAAGGGAGGCGACGGGAUAGCAUCAAGGCGAAACGUGAUCGGGGUCAAUGGGCAACUCGCCCGGCGAUUGGAGCAAAUCAAGAAAGGGGAAGUUGAUAUCGAAGUGAUUACCAGCAGGAUUCAGGAUGAGGAUGAGUUUGACAUUGGGUGGAGACUGUUCGAGAUGGUGGAACGUCAAUGUUGGCAGAAAUUGACCAUGAAAACGGCGCAGUUGCAAAUGUUGGGAUGAGAGAUGAGGUCAAACACCUCAAGAAUUCCUCGACCAAAUCUAGGGUAAGCUGACAGCAUGAUAUAUCAUAUAUGUGCACGGAAUAAAGAUGAGUUGGGAUGGGGGUUUUAAUGUUCAAGAGAAACGUUGGAGGAGCACUCCUACAUUCCAACUCUUGGACUAAGGAUGUUGAUCUUGGGCUCGGAAAAGAUGGACUUUGACAAGGAGAAAGGCUUGCUAGGGUUCUAGGCCAGAUAAAGAUUUGAAGUCUUCCUCGUUCCGGUAUUAGAUGCAAAAAGAAGUAAAUACAUUGUCGUAAAUUAAAAUUCUGCUGAUGUUGGAUGAAAAGAUCGAUUGAUAUUGUGUGAAGAUGUCGGUAUCAUAUAACAGCUUGAAGCCUUGAACAAAUGGAAAUAGGAAGGUUGGCUGGCGCAAAGUCAAUAAGAGAAUUCAUGUUAAGAAAAGACUAUGAAGUGCCACUAAUGAAUUGGAGGACCGAGUAAAGAAUAGCUGAGGGAGAAUUAUAAAUGAAUCAAGUGAAAUGUAAAUAACUAGGUGGCAGAAGAGAUUGACUGGGUUAAUUGAAUCUAUUUGGUUAGUGCUCGUUGCGCAUGGAAUGAUUCCUCCUAACCCAAACAGACAUUGUUCCGAGACAUGGCUUGAACUUCAGAUGAGACUUUUCCAGUCAAAAGCAUGCGUGUGUCAUGCAUCUCCCUGUGACUUUAAAGAAUUCAAAAGCUGCCUGCUUGUUGAGGUGAUAAAAAGGAUUCCCACCAUCAAAAGACUUCAAGCUCAUCAGUCAACUCAGCCUGUUAAAUAUCACCAGAGAUCCUGCAAGAAAGUUCCUGAUGUUACUUUCAGCCACUGGAACUCCAUCGACUCUUGCUGCUGCUGACACCGCACUAACUUAGCUGCUAAGGUUAUGGCAUAGGCAUCUUUCGGCAAAUUUGGUUCUCAUUAUUAAUCCAACAGCUUUCACAGGUUCAGAAGUUGUAAGCAACUCAUUUGUGGAGAAGGGCAGCAUGGACCACUAGUCAUGCAUGCAUCUACAGAUUCUUAUAGAGAGGAAAUACAUGGGUAAGCAUGACUCUUUGUUCUAACUUUGUCCAGUGAAUGAUUGUGACAUGAUGAUGAUAACAAAUUUACUUGGUCAUGCUUACUUAGGCUGUCAAUGGCACUAUAGUUAAUGACUGGCAAGCCCCUCCUGGUCUACCAAGAUUACUGACAUAUCCUUUGUUUGACCUUUCUAAAGAUCAUUGUUUAAGAGCAUAGAGUUGACCAUGCAGCUGGUCAGAAGAGUAAUAUAAACAUAUUUCCAACACUAUCACCACUCAUCAUAUUGUAUUAUUUAGGUCAGGGGAGACUGGAAUUACAAGAAACAAUGAUGAGCAACAAGGAAAGUUAUUACCUAUAGCCAGCUGCAGAUGUCAUGGGCAUCAUAGAUAUGUUAAGAUCAACAUGAGAAUAUUCUGUCUCAGUUUGAUAUUUUUGUAGCUCUUGGAGGUUGUGAUCCCUGAUCAGAACUGUGAAUUCUUAAUGGCUGGACAAGGAGGACCCAUUCUAGCUGACUUGGUGCAUGGAAUCAAACAGAGAUGGGGCUCAGAUCUGAACCAUGAUGCAUCAUCAUGUAGUUUUUUCUCAAGACUGUUUGGAUGAUACCAUCAUCUUGAUCCUAUGGGACCAAGUUUGUCUGGUUUGAGGAAGUAAAAUGGGAACCCAUCAAACUCUUCUACUGCUUUACUAAUGUUUCAGGAUUCAUUAGAAAUCAGAAAAAAGCUUUUCCCGACUAACUCUCUUCAUCUCAGAUUUCUGUGCCAGUUUUUGUCACUGCCACAUGAAUGCGUCACAAUGAUUAAAAGUGCAGGUCGCUUGGAGCCACCAUCUGUUUGAACCUUACCUCAUCAGGCUGCUGCAUAUGGAUCUCCAUCAUGGCUUGUGUUCCUUCUCCAGAGGUGCAGAGAUGAGGAAGAAGUACUACUGCAUCUUCUUUUUAAUGCAGUUGCCUCUGUGUGUGUGUGUGCGCGCGCGCCUGAGAUCACCCAUGUGUUGCUGACUCACAUAGAUUCCUUGUGGUGGCCCAGUGGAAGCAUUGAGUUCUUUGGUGUAUACACAUGAUUCCAAAAUCACAAAGCUACUUUUGUGACAGGGCUUAAAAGCAAGGGAGGCAACAUCCACCAUGGCUGGAGAGAAUGAGGUUGCUUGGGUCCCUCCAAAGGUUUUAAAAGCCUGACCAUGAAAUGCCAAUGGUAAAAGAGAAAGGUACAUUAGCUGUUCCUUCACCAGAAAGAGGAUUUAUUACAUCUGAUUCAAAAAGAUAUAUAGCAUUUUACAUUUCAAAGGUUGGAUAUAGCACAUUUGCCCCUCAAAACAUAGUGUCCCAUUUUUGUAUCCUUUUGACUAUUUAGAUAUUGCAUAAUCCCUUAAUAACUUUUACUUGUCAUUUGAUUCUUGAUUUUUUAAACUUAA
This is a long non-coding RNA of Musa acuminata AAA Group (dessert banana), 2754 nucleotides long. RefSeq lists it as uncharacterized. The record is from RefSeq and is a predicted model, not a curated record. Lineage: Eukaryota; Viridiplantae; Streptophyta; Magnoliopsida; Zingiberales; Musaceae. The transcript has 4 exons.